Molecule: RNA transcript, 2303 nt
Organism: Cynara cardunculus var. scolymus (artichoke)
Lineage: Eukaryota; Viridiplantae; Streptophyta; Magnoliopsida; Asterales; Asteraceae
Gene name: SKP1-like protein 21
Exons: 9
Source: RefSeq, a predicted model, not a curated record
AUGUCCAUGCACAUACAACAAAACUAGAACUUACAUUUGCUGCAAGGAAGGGCACCUUUUGGCCUUUUUAGGGUUUUUUUCCUAUGUGGAAAUCCAGAAACUUUGAUUUAUGUGAGGAGAUGGAGCCUGAAACUGACUUAGGAAUGGUGGAGAAGCUUGAUUAUCUCAUGCUAAAAUUCAUUGCAUCUCACAGUAUGCAGUCUAUUAAGUGAAUUUUAGGGGAAAGUUGGCCCAAUAAGAGAGAAUUAUUCCAAAUGAAGUAGGUUAUAUAGCUGGUCAAGUGAAUUUUAUUCUCCUCUUUUCGGGCAAACAUCUGUGUUCUCUUAUAAUCACUAGUUUUUUGUUUACUUUAUUGAACUGCUGAAAUGCUUGGAUGGUUUAUAUUGAGAUCAAUUAUUUUACAUUUUUCAGGCAUAAGGUCCGAUGGUUUCUAGGCUUCCUCUUCUUGUUGGCUUCAAGAUUGAGCAGAGGGGCUAGGUGUGAUGAAACUCUCUUCGUAAAAAAGACUUGUACUAUUGCUAAUGUGGAAUGCAACACUAGGAGGUGUAUAUCAUUGUGGUUGAUUAUAGUUGAAGGGUCCAUGGCUGUCAUGAAACCAGAGAUGAAGUCUUUCAUUUGGCUUGAAACUCCUGAUGGUUCAACUCAACAAGUGGAGGAAGAAGUUGCAAUGUUUUGUCCCAUGAUAUGCCGAGAAGUCCUUCAAACAGGCAUGGGAUCUUCCAAAAAUUAUGCUAUAAAACUUCCUCAACGAGUUAAUCCCUCUGUCUUAGGCUUAAUACUUGACUAUUGCCGGUUUCAUCAAGUACCAGGGCGCUCCAAUAAGGAGCGGAAAACCUUUGAUGAGAAGUUCAUUCGGCUGGAUACAAAAAAAUUAUGCGAAUUGACAUCUGGUGCAGAUAGCCUCCAGUUAAGACCAUUGGUUGACCUUACUAGCCGUGCACUUGCUCGGAUGAUUGAAGGCAAAACUCCUGAGGAAAUACGUGACACAUUUCAUCUUCCUGAUGAUCUCACGGAGGAAGAGAAGUUGGAACCUUUGAGAAAUAGGACUGAUGAUCCACGUAUCCGUCUUUUGAAUAGGCUAUAUGCCAGAAAGAGAAAAGAAUUGAAAGUAAGAGAAACAUCAAAGAAUGUUGAGAUUGAAGAGGAGCGUGUUGAUGAUCGUUCUGUUGAUGAUCUUUUGUUGUUCAUAAACAGCGGAGAUGAAGAUUCCAAAGGUGUUAAAUCGGUCAAGAAUAAAAAGAAGAAUCGUAGGAGAAAGGAUCAUUCAAAGGACUCUUCUCUCAACAUUCAGAAUGGGUGUCAUAAGAAGAUAGUCUAUCUUCUUCCCAUAACAGCGAGAUUGAGGAUGUGCCAAGUCCAAGUAAAAUUUCGAAGUUGCUAGGAUCUACUUUUCCUUCAAACCCCCCUGAGCUGGAUUUUGAUGAUGAGUUGGAUCCUGCAAUGAAGGAAGAACUUGACAGGGAAGUAGAGGAUUUUGCUCGGCGAUUGAACUCCGUUUGGCCAGAAAGAGUGCCAGGGAUCAUUUCUUCGGGUCAAGAUAGGAGGAUUGCACCUAGGAAUGGAUAAACAGGCAUGUAUUCCUUUUUAAUAAUUUCACUUAUACCUCUUUUAAAAUGGCGUUUGAUAUCGACCCACCAAAUGUUGUUCUGUAACAGGCAUGGACCAUACAUAUUGCUGAUGAAUUGGCAUGAUCUUUUUGGUGAAUAUUACAUAGCAAGGAAAAAAAAAGUAAAAAUCUUGUAGGCAUGUUAGCUGAAUAUAUAUGCAUCUGCUAUAUAAUUUUGGGUUUUUUUUUCCUUGAGAUGUGACGCUGUUCGUCUAUUCUUAACUUCUGUUUGCCGUCGUCAUCAUAAUCAUGGAUAUUGGGAGCAGUUGGCUAUAAAAAGAAUCGCAGAGAAAAAAUGUCUCGAAUGAUUUGUCAAAUUAUGUACAUUUUACAUCAUCUUGUUUGUUGUGGUUACGAAGGAACCUGAAAUUAAAGCAACCAAAGUUGGGUACUUGAUAUCAUCUCCCAAAGUUCUGAACAUUAUGUUUUUUAAGUAUAUACAAGUACGUCAAAAUAAACGUCCAGGAUGAAAAGAAAAUAAACGGUUUUAGGAGUAUGUAAUUAGACGAAGGAUUGUGUAACAGUAAGAGUUAAGUUGAGAAAUGUAAGAAAGUGAUUUGGACCUUUGAUCACUUUUAAUCUCAAAACAACUCAUAAGUUGUGCUUUAGAAGGGAAUUGGUUUGGUAACAUUAGUGUUGAUCCAAGGGUGUAAAUUGCUUCUUAACCUUCUCAUCACAACUCUGAUUGGUUUAAAGU